UACGUAGGGGGCAAGCGUUGUCCGGAUUUAUUGGGCGUAAAGAGCGUGUAGGCGGCCAAGCAGGUCCGCUGUGAAAACUCGAGGCUCAACCUCGAGACGUCGGUGGAAACCGUUUGGCUAGAGUCCGGAAGAGGAGAGUGGAAUUCCUGGUGUAGCGGUGAAAUGCGCAGAUAUCAGGAGGAACACCGGUGGCGAAGGCGGAUCUCUGGGCCAUUACUGACGCUGAGGAGCGAAAGCGUGGGGAGCGAACAGG
This 253-nucleotide ribosomal RNA is filed under the name uncultured bacterium. RNAcentral describes it as "partial 16S ribosomal RNA". It matches the Rfam family "Bacterial small subunit ribosomal RNA", at positions 524 to 776 of the family's 1533-position model. The record is from RNAcentral.